RNAcentral lists this ribosomal RNA (1106 nucleotides) under Candidatus Paraburkholderia kirkii. RNAcentral's name for it is "bacterial SSU rRNA". It matches the Rfam family "Bacterial small subunit ribosomal RNA", at positions 96 to 1198 of the family's 1533-position model. The record is from RNAcentral. Lineage: Bacteria; Pseudomonadati; Pseudomonadota; Betaproteobacteria; Burkholderiales; Burkholderiaceae.
UGGCGAACGGGUGAGUAAUACAUCGGAACGUGUCCUGUAGUGGGGGAUAGCCCGGCGAAAGCCGGAUUAAUACCGCAUACGACCUGAGAGGGGGGAAAGCGGGGGAUCUUCGGACCUCGCGCUGUAGGGGCGGCCGAUGGCAGAUUAGCUAGUUGGUGGGGUAAAGGCCUACCAAGGCGACGAUCUGUAGCUGGUCUGAGAGGACGACCAGCCGCACUGGGGACUGAGACACGGCCCCAGACUCCUACGGGAGGCAGCAGUGGGGAAUUUUGGACAAUGGGCGCAAGCCUGAUCCAGCAAUGCCGCGUGUGUGAAGAAGGCCUUCGGGUUGUAAAGCACUUUUGUCCGGAAAGAAAACUUCGGGGCUAAUACCCCUGGAGGAUGACGGUACCGGAAGAAUAAGCACCGGCUAACUACGUGCCAGCAGCCGCGGUAAUACGUAGGGUGCGAGCGUUAAUCGGAAUUACUGGGCGUAAAGCGUGCGCAGGCGGUCUGUUAAGACCGAUGUGAAAUCCCCGGGCUCAACCUGGGAACUGCAUUGGUGACUGACAGGCUUGGAGUGUGGCAGAGGGAGGUAGAAUUCCACGUGUAGCAGUGAAAUGCGUAGAGAUGUGGAGGAAUACCGAUGGCGAAGGCAGCCUCCUGGGUCAACACUGACGCUCAUGCACGAAAGCGUGGGGAGCAAACAGGAUUAGAUACCCUGGUAGUCCACGCCCUAAACGAUGUCAACUAGUUGUUGGGGAUUCAUUUCCUUAGUAACGUAGCUAACGCGUGAAGUUGACCGCCUGGGGAGUACGGUCGCAAGAUUAAAACUCAAAGGAAUUGACGGGGACCCGCACAAGCGGUGGAUGAUGUGGAUUAAUUCGAUGCAACGCGAAAAACCUUACCUACCCUUGACAUGGUCGGAAGUCUGCUGAGAGGCGGAUGUGCUCGAAAGAGAACCGACGCACAGGUGCUGCAUGGCUGUCGUCAGCUCGUGUCGUGAGAUGUUGGGUUAAGUCCCGCAACGAGCGCAACCCUUGUCCUUAGUUGCUACGCAAGAGCACUCUAAGGAGACUGCCGGUGACAAACCGGAGGAAGGUGGGGAUGACGUCAAGUCCGCAUGG